RNAcentral lists this transfer RNA (78 nucleotides) under Apilactobacillus kunkeei. RNAcentral's name for it is "tRNA-Ile". It matches the Rfam family "tRNA". From Rfam's summary of the family: Transfer RNA (tRNA) molecules are approximately 80 nucleotides in length. Their secondary structure includes four short double-helical elements and three loops (D, anti-codon, and T loops). The record is from RNAcentral. Lineage: Bacteria; Bacillati; Bacillota; Bacilli; Lactobacillales; Lactobacillaceae. RNAcentral also lists the same sequence under 1 other name.
UGGGCCUAUAGCUCAGUUGGUUUAGAGCGCACGCCUGAUAAGCGUGAGGUCGGAGGUUCGAGUCCCCCUAGGCCCAUC